CCCCCUCUCUUACUCUUCCUCCUCCUCCCAUCUUCCUCUUUCCCAUCAUCCUCUUCCUCCUCCCAGUCCUCUCCCCUCCUCCUCCUGUCUUCCUCCUCCUCCUCACCCCUCCUCUUCCUCCCUCCUGCUUUCCCUAAUGAUUUUGUGGUAUUAAUAAUGAAAGCUGUCACAGAAGCGUGUAACCAGUAUUUUCACUCCUACCGCAUCAGCCCUCGUGUCAGUGGUGAUAUUGAGCAGGUAGCUACUCACACCAGCUCUAAACAGAAAUAUCUAUUUCAUAUCCAUACGUAUAACUUCAAAUCACACACAUUUAACCACAUCAUCCCAAUACAGGGAAACUGCUGGAGGCUUCAUUAAUGCUUAUUUACCAACAAGCAGCAGCAACAGAGUAGGCCUACUGUUAGCCAAACAUGGAGGGAAAAACCAGUAAAGCUUAGACAGUAUUGACAUAUACACAAGCAAGAUAGAGGAACAUAGCCUCUAUACAACACAGACCAGUUCCCUCUGUUUGAUGUCAAACACUGAUUCCUAAUUAAAGAAACUGUUGAAUCAACACAACUGCAACCUGUGUUUCUAAAGAUCACAGUUUUCAUACACCAACACUGUCAAAGGAACAGAAGCUGGCCAGCCUAAAAUACUCAGCUCAAUGUAACAGCUGAUAUUCCAGUUUGUCCAAGGAGGACUUAAGCCACCAUUGAACUUCACCAACCAUAGCAUGAUCUAUGAGUAAAGUAUAACACUGUUACAACAAUACACUGUAUCAAGGCUAGAUACUAGGACACAGAUGGCUCAAUCCAAUCUGUGGUUGCAGAGUUGUGUAUUAAAGCUUUGAUACAAUUGCACUUGGACAUUUGCCCAACAAUUUCCUGUUACAACAACACAGAUUAAUACACAGAUAUUUCAUUUGUUCAUACUUGCCUGACUGGCAAAACACUUUAUAUCACAAUACUCCCUGCUGUUAUCUAGAAAGCAGUCAGGCAGAGAGGUGAGAGGAAAGAGGGGGGAGGGGGAAGGAGGAGAGAGGAGGAGGGAGGGAUGGACGGAGGAGAGAGGAGGGAUGGAGGGGGAGGGGGAGGGAGGAGGGAGGGGGAGAGGGAUGGAAAGAGAGAGGAGAGAGGAGAGAGGGGGAGGGAGGAGAGAUGGGGAGGAGAGAGGGGAGGGAGGGAGGGCGGGAGGGAGGGAGGAUAGAGGAGAGAGGAGAGAGGGGGAGGGAGGAGAGAGGAAAGAAGAGGGGGGGAGAGAGGAGGGAGAAUAGAGGGGGAGGGAGGAGAGAGGAGGAGGGAGGGAGGGAGGGAGAGAGGAGAGAGAGGGAAGGGAGGAGAGAGGAGAGAGGAGGGAGGAGAGAGGGGGAGGGAGGAGAGAGGAGAAGGAGGGAGGAGAGAGGGGGAGGGAGGAGAGAGAGGAGAGGAGAGGGGGAGGAGAGAGGAGGAAGAGGGAGGAGAGAGAGGAGAGGAGAGGGGGAGGGAGGAGAGAGGAGGGAGGUGGGAUGAGAUAGGAAGGAGGUGGGAGGAGUGAGGAGUGGAGGGAGAGGAGGAAGAGAGAGGAGGGAGGAGAGAGGAGGGAGUUUGGAGGAGAGAGGAGAGGAGGAAGAGAGAGGAGGGAGGAGAGAGGAGGGAGUUUGGAGGAGUGGAGGGAGUGGGGGAGGAGAGAGGAGGGAGGUGAGAGGAGGUAGAGGGAGGAGGGAGGUGAGAGGAGGGAGUUUGGAGGAGAGAGGAGAGGAGGAAGAGAGAGGAGGAAGAGAGAGGAGGGAGUUUGGAGGAGUGGAGGGAGUGGGGGAGGAGAGAGGAGGGAGGUGAGAGGAGGAAGCAGGGGGUUAAUACAGGAUAAAGUCUGGCAUCUCUAGAACGCUGCAUGUUCUGAA
This 1861-nucleotide long non-coding RNA is filed under the name Salmo salar (Atlantic salmon). RNAcentral describes it as "lncRNA (ENSSSAG00000103977.1)". The record is from RNAcentral. Lineage: Eukaryota; Metazoa; Chordata; Actinopteri; Salmoniformes; Salmonidae.